Molecule: ribosomal RNA, 835 nt
Filed under: Kitasatospora sp. IM-6571
Lineage: Bacteria; Bacillati; Actinomycetota; Actinomycetes; Kitasatosporales; Streptomycetaceae
Description: bacterial SSU rRNA
Rfam family: Bacterial small subunit ribosomal RNA
Source: RNAcentral
GGCGGCGUGCUUAACACAUGCAAGUCGAACGGUGAAGCCCUUCGGGGUGGAUCAGUGGCGAACCGUGAGUAACACGUGGGAAAUCUGCCCUGCACUCUGGGACAAGCCUUGGAAACGAGGUCUAAUACCGGAUAUGACCUUCCUCUGCAUGGGGGUUGGUGGAAAGCUCCGGCGGUGCAGGAUGAUCCCGCGGCCUAUCAGCUUGUUGGUGGGGUAAUGGCCUACCAAGGCGACGACGGGUAGCCGGCCUGAGAGGGCGACCGGCCACACUGGGACUGAGACACGGCCCAGACUCCUACGGGAGGCAGCAGUGGGGAAUAUUGCACAAUGGGCGAAAGCCUGAUGCAGCGACGCCGCGUGAGGGAUGACGGCCUUCGGGUUGUAAACCUCUUUCAGCAGGGAAGAAGCGCAAGUGACGGUACCUGCAGAAGAAGCACCGGCUAACUACGUGCCAGCAGCCGCGGUAAUACGUAGGGUGCGAGCGUUGUCCGGAAUUAUUGGGCGUAAAGAGCUCGUAGGCGGCCUGUCGCGUCGGAUGUGAAAGCCCGGGGCUUAACCCCGGGUCUGCAUUCGAUACGGGCAGGCUAGAGUGUGGUAGGGGAGAUCGGAAUUCCUGGUGUAGCGGUGAAAUGCGCAGAUAUCAGGAGGAACACCGGUGGCGAAGGCGGAUCUCUGGGCCAUUACUGACGCUGAGGAGCGAAAGCGUGGGGAGCGAACAGGAUUAGAUACCCUGGUAGUCCACGCCGUAAACGUUGGGAACUAGGUGUUGGCGACAUUCCACGUCGUCGGUGCCGCAGCUAACGCAUUAAGUUCCCCGCCUGGGGAGUACGGCCGC